Molecule: transfer RNA, 745 nt
Filed under: uncultured cyanobacterium
Lineage: Bacteria; Bacillati; Cyanobacteriota
Description: partial contains 16S ribosomal RNA, 16S-23S ribosomal RNA intergenic spacer, and 23S ribosomal RNA
Rfam family: tRNA (bases 266-338)
Source: RNAcentral
CAGGGAGACAAAACUGAUCGUGAUGUCUGAGAUUUUUAAUACUUAGGCCAUGAUCCUGUCACCUUAGGUCGAUCGGUACCUCAGUUUGAAAGGCAAAUAAAGAAGUUGUAAAUCAACUUUUAGGUUGUCAAUUAAAUUCAGUUCCUAAACUUGUCUAGGUCGCACUCAGCAAGGGUUCUCCUGGGCCAUUAGCUCAGGUGGUUAGAGCGCACCCCUGAUAAGGGUGAGGUCCCUGGUUCAAGUCCAGGAUGGCCCAUUCGGUGUUGGGGGUAUAGCUCAGUUGGUAGAGCGCCUGCUUUGCAAGCAGGAUGUCAGCGGUUCGAGUCCGCUUACCUCCACUGAUCAUCUCCUAAUCCCAAUUAAGAGGAGUACCUUAUGUAUAUGUGAUCUUGACGUUGUUUAUCUGAAGAACCUAGCUUCCUAUCAUUCCUAUAUAUCUCAAAAAGAUUUGGUUGAAAGGAUGCUGGGCUCAUUACAUUUCAUAUGAAAUGUAGAUGAUUUCAGUAGAACCUUGACAACUGCAUAGGUGAGUCUGGAAAGAAUAAAGCAUCUCAUGGAUGCAUUUUUCUUUUUAGUUAGGAUCUAAAAUAUCUAAAAUUGAUAUUUAGAUUCUACUUAAAGAAUAAUGAUUGAUUCUUGAUAAAGAUCUUAGAUUCUAUUCCCAUAUUUUGCUCUAAACUAGGAGUAUAAAUAUCAUACAUAUUCAAUAAUUUUUGAAUAUGUAUUAACUAGGUUUAGAACUAAU